AUCCUCCAAGGCUAAAUACUCCUGACUGACCGAUAGUGAACCAGUACCGUGAGGGAAAGGCGAAAAGAACCCCGGCGAGGGGAGUGAAACAGAACCUGAAACCGUGUACGUACAAGCAGUGGGAGCCCUCUUUAUGGGGGUGACUGCGUACCUUUUGUAUAAUGGGUCAGCGACUUAUAUUCUGUAGCAAGGUUAACCGUAUAGGGGAGCCGCAGGGAAACCGAGUCUUAACUGGGCGUUAAGUUGCAGGGUAUA
This 255-nucleotide ribosomal RNA is filed under the name Pantoea sp. PNT01. RNAcentral's name for it is "partial 23S ribosomal RNA". It matches the Rfam family "Bacterial large subunit ribosomal RNA", at positions 455 to 711 of the family's 2925-position model. The record is from RNAcentral. Lineage: Bacteria; Pseudomonadati; Pseudomonadota; Gammaproteobacteria; Enterobacterales; Erwiniaceae.